GGGGGAUAUUGCACAAUGGGGGAAACCCUGAUGCAGCGACGCCGCGUGGAGGAAGAAGGUUUUCGGAUUGUAAACUCCUGUCGUUAGGGACGAUAAUGACGGUACCUAACAAGAAAGCACCGGCUAACUACGUGCCAGCAGCCGCGGUAAAACGUAGGGUGCAAGCGUUGUCCGGAAUUACUGGGUGUAAAGGGAGCGCAGGCGGGAAGACAAGUUGGAAGUGAAAACCAUGGGCUCAACCCAUGAAUUGCUUUCAAAACUGUUUUUCUUGAGUAGUGCAGAGGUAGAUGGAAUUCCCGGUGUAGCGGUGGAAUGCGUAGAUAUCGGGAGGAACACCAGUGGCGAAGGCGGUCUACUGGGCACCAACUGACGCUGAGGCUCGAAAGCAUGGGUAGCAAACAGGAUUAGAUACCCUGGUAGUCCAUGCCGUAAACGAUGAUUACUAGGUGUUGGGGGAUUGACCCCCUCAGUGCCGCAGUUAACACAAUAAGUAAUCCACCUGGGGAGUACGACCGCAAGGUUGAAACUCAAAGGAAUUGACGGGGGCCCGCACAAGCAGUGGAGUAUGUGGUUUAAUUCGAAGCAACGCGAAGAACCUUACCAGGUCUUGACAUCCGAUGCAUAGCACAGAGAUGUGUGAAAUCCUUCGGGACAUCGAGACAGGUGGUGCAUGGUUGUCGUCAGCUCGUGUCGUGAGAUGUUGGGUUAAGUCCCGCAACGAGCGCAACCCUUAUUGCCAGUUACUACGUUAAGAGGACUCUGGCGAGACUGCCGUUGACAAAACGGAGGAAGGUGGGGAUGACGUCAAAUCAUCAUGCCCUUUAUGACCUGGGCUACACACGUACUACAAUGGCGUUAAACAAAGAGAAGCAAGACCGCGAGGUGGAGCAAAACUCAAAAACAACGUCUCAGUUCAGAUUGCAGGCUGCAACUCGCCUGCAUGAAGUCGGAAUCGCUAGUAAUCGCGGAUCAGCAUGCCGCGGUGAAUACGUUCCCG
RNAcentral lists this ribosomal RNA (997 nucleotides) under uncultured bacterium. RNAcentral describes it as "bacterial SSU rRNA". It matches the Rfam family "Bacterial small subunit ribosomal RNA", at positions 356 to 1376 of the family's 1533-position model. The record is from RNAcentral.